RNA transcript from Zea mays, 385 nucleotides. It is a transcript of the gene named acidic endochitinase pseudogene, with no coding region annotated. The record is from RefSeq and is a predicted model, not a curated record. The transcript has 2 exons. Lineage: Eukaryota; Viridiplantae; Streptophyta; Magnoliopsida; Poales; Poaceae.
UCACUCUUAUUGGAAGUCUAGAAAUGCCAAAGGAUGACAUAUGGCUUGUCACAGCUAUCCUAUCUGGUCUGAUUGAAUAAUGUGCGAAGAUAUAAGUCACAUCUUUCUUGGCCUCCUAUCUUCGCCUCAGGCAGCUGGGAGUGGUUUUAUACUCGCUGAUGACAUCAAGUCUUAGGUGCUUCCAUUGAUCAAUAACUCUGCGAAAUAUGGAGGGAUCAUGAUGUGGUUCAAGUACUAUGAUGAUCAACAUGGCUACAAUUCUUGAGUGAAGAGUGAUGUUUAGGUUGUUGCCUGUGGUGUGUCACAAUAUCUGUGUGUUACUUGUGUGUAUGUGAGAAAUUAUGUGACUCUGGAGUCUGGAUAGUGCAAUAAGUAUUCUCAAGUA